This 2717-nucleotide long non-coding RNA is filed under the name Solanum tuberosum (potato). Its description in RNAcentral is "long non-coding RNA (STUB_LNC010899)". Lineage: Eukaryota; Viridiplantae; Streptophyta; Magnoliopsida; Solanales; Solanaceae. The record is from RNAcentral.
CCUAUAUCUAUUAUCCACCCAAACUCACCAUAAUCUACUGUGAAAGAACUGGAGAAUGAAGAAGAGCGUUGCGAGCCAUCGUUCUCACUUUUCAAUUUUCUCUUCUCUAUUACAUCGUCGUUGACUCUUGACUGUUUGUCUGCUUCACGGCUCCGCCUCAAAAUCUGGUAAGCUUCUUUUUUUUUGCUUUUUCGUAUGGGUAAUGGAAGAAUCAGAAAUCAGAAGGUUUGCUUGAGAGGCAAAAAUUACUUACUUGUUUGUGUGGCAAUGAAAGAAUCGGAAUUUGCUAUUUCGUAUGAAUACACACAUUUUUAAAAUUUUUUUUUUGCUUUUUCACAAAUGACAGAAAUUGAAAGUAGGAUGAGUGAAGGUGGGGCUUCAAAUGAAAGAAUACUUAGGACCCAUUUAUCUCCAAGAAUACUUAGAAAAAAUUUGGGAAGUGGUGUUUGGUCUUGGCAAAUAUAUAUUUGCCAAGUAUUCAAGUUCUCAAAUACUAGAAAAAACUAGUAUUUGGGUCAAAUUCUAAUAUUUGGAAAUUUUUAAAAAUAUAAAAAUUACCACAAACUUUUAUAUUUUAUAAAAAAUACUCAUUAUUUAUUAAUUUCAACUAAUAUUUGUUGUUACUUCCUCCGAAAAAGCUUGAGUUCUAAUUCCAGUGACAAAAUUGAGAAAAAGGAAUAAUUUGUGUUUAAUGAGUUAUAAUUAUAACUGAAUCAGUGACAAGUUUAAGUAUGCGAUUAAUGUAUUAUUUUUCCUAUAUUGUUAUUUUGUUAUUGUUGAUUGUUAUCAAUUAUAUUAUAAAUUUUAACGAAGCAUAUUCAUUAUAAAAUGGUAAUAUAAAUUUAUGGGUAUUUUUAAUAAUUUUUAGAACUUAAGGAUAUAAAUCAUAAUUUUUGAAAUAAUCAAAUAUUUUUAGGGAAAAUUGGGGCCAAAUUCAUGGUGAAAUUUCAUCCAAACAUGAUUUGCCAAUAAUAUUUGAGAACUUGAGGUCAAAUGCUAGUUUAAUACUUCAUCUCCAAAUGAAGUUAAAGAUAACAGUGAAGCUUCAAACAAAAGAAAAGUCAUAGAAACUACGAUUGCUUGUUGUAAGCAUUUUGAGAAAUUAAUUGAUGAAGAUGGAGCUACUAAAACAAAAUGUAAUUAUUGUGGAAAAACUUAUGCGACUACUAAUAAAGGUAAUGGUACUUUGGUUAUGAAUAAUCAUUUGACUAUCAAAAAGUGUCCUAAAUUUUCCCAUACCGUAGAUGAUGGUCAAACACUAAUAGAUUUUGUACCAUCUUCAAUGGGAGCAAAGGAAGGGGUGGUUAGCACUUGAAAAUUUGAACAAGCACAAAGUAGAAGAACUUUAGUCCAAAUGGUAAUUAUUGACGAGUUGCUAUUUAGUUUUAUUGAGAAAAAAAGUUUUAAGAAUUUCAUGAAAGUCACAGUAUUACAAUUUCAUAUUCCUUCUUGUAGAACUUUGACAAGAGAUUGUUAAUGAACAAAGAAAACUCUUGAAGAAGACUUUCAGAGAAGCACAUCUAAAUAUUUGUCUUACGACAAAUACUUGGAAAUCUAUUCAAAGAAUCAACUAUAUGUGUCUAACAAUCCACUUUAUAGAUAGAAACUGGAUUUUGCAUAAAAGUAUUAUUAAUUUUUGUCCUAUUUCUAGUCAUAAAAGUGAUAAUAUGACAUCUUCCAUUACUAAAUGUUUGCUUGAUUGAGAUUUGGAUAAUAUGUAUACUAUAACAGUUGAUAAUACUAGUUCCGACAAUGUUAUAGUGAAAAGAAUGUCUAAGCAAUUGAGUAAUUGGGGAACCAAUAUAAUAGAGGGUCAACAUCUUCAUGUUAGGUGUAUGACACAUUUUUAAUUUUAUUGUGCAAGAUGGAUUGAAAGAAAUUGAUCGGUCAGUCAAGCGAGUGAGACAAGACGUGAAAUACAUUAAACAAUCUCCUGCAAUAAUUAAAAAGUGUUAAGAAUGUUGUGAAUCUCAAUUGAUAACUUGUAAGAAAUCAUUAUGUUUAGAUUGAACUAGUGCAAGUGUCCUUAAUAGUGCUGAUUGGGAAAAAGUGAGAUAAAUGAUUAAGUUUCUUGAAACUUUUUAUAUACUUACGGUAAAGGUUUUUGGUUCAAAGUAUGUCACAAAUAAUGUGACAUACUUUGUGACAUUAUACACAUAAUACACAUUAUUUGAGACAUACUUUGAACUAGAGACCUUCAAAGUAAGCAUACAAAAAGUUUCAAGAAACUUAAUCAAAAUGAUCUCACUUUUUCUUAAUCAGUAUUAGUGAUCUGCAAUAGUCCAUCUUCACAAAGAUGGUACGGAGAUAAUCAAGGAAUCCAAUAUCAUAAAAAUUAUAUCUUUCAAAUGCAAGUUCAAAGUGUUGUGAUGUACCAAACAUCAAGUAUGUAGAGUUCCACCGAGUAGGAACAUCUAAACAAAGUAAUUUCUUGCAAAGUAUCAUUUGAGAUUUCCAACAUUCUUUAAACUUUUUAAUUCUUCCAGGAUAUUAUUAAUGUAUUUCACGGCUUGUCUCACUCGCUUGACUAAUUGACCAACUUUCUUCAAUCCAUCAUGCACGAUAAGAUUAAGAAUAUGCGCCAUACACCUCACAUGAAGAUGUUGACCCUCCAUUAUGUUGGUUCCCCAAUUACAAAAUAGCUUAGAUGUUUCUUUCACGAUAAGACUGUUGGAACUAACUUCAUCAACUGUUAUAGGAAACACAUUAUCCAAACU